AGCCAUGCUGCUCAAGAAGGAAACGUGAUAAAGAAAAAUAAGAAUGUGUAAAAAUAGUCUGGGAUCCAGAUGUGGAUACUAUUGUGCUGAUGACAGAAGCGUAGAUUUUGCCAAUUCUGGAAACCUAGACCACUGAAAAAAAUAGGGUUGGCAGAAUUCUUUUUGUGUGCGGUAAAUUCGAGAAUUAAUAUUGAUUAUUAUUUUUAAUCUUUUUUUCUGGUUUUUAUUGUUUAAAAUAAAUUUUCAGAGUUUCACAACGGGACUGCUGGAUGCUUUCAGGUACAAGAGGCGGCAAAGGAUGCGGUCCUGGCAGGGUACGGCAGAUACUUCUAGCCAGAACCGCAAAGAGGAGGACUAGGCCUGGUCGCCCUGCUGCUGAACAGUUCCUACCUGAAGGCAGCCCCUCACUCCCAACUGGCCCAGGAAGCUGAGCAGAUGGAGAGUUUGAUGGACAGAAGCCUCCACCUGAUGUCUGGAUUGACCCUGAACCAACCAGUCACCCAGCUGGAGUAUAGAAGCCCAGGGACUUUAGAACCACUCUCAAGUCCUUUAGGGUAUGUAAAGUCUCAUCAGUUUUGGAUGAAAAUAAUUUACAUACUUCAAAGGAAAGGUUCUCAAUAGUCCGUUGCAUCUCCAUAGGAAUCCCUGAAUACC
This is a long non-coding RNA of Chelonia mydas (Green sea turtle), 654 nucleotides long. RefSeq lists it as uncharacterized. Lineage: Eukaryota; Metazoa; Chordata; Testudines; Cheloniidae. The record is from RefSeq and is a predicted model, not a curated record. The transcript is spliced from 3 exons.